This 257-nucleotide unclassified non-coding RNA is filed under the name Hevea brasiliensis (rubber tree). Lineage: Eukaryota; Viridiplantae; Streptophyta; Magnoliopsida; Malpighiales; Euphorbiaceae. The record is from RNAcentral.
GAAGUAUACAGUCACACACGUAGUAGAACCAGUUGAAAGGGGGAUUGCAAAACUUAACAAAACGAUCCAUCGGUUCUCUGAAAACGUUAAACGGCAUGAAGAGCAACGGAAGAGUGCCAAGGAUGACAGCCAUCUGAUUCCUUUGAAUUCCUGGUCAAAAGAAUUUUCUGAAGUCGAAGAAAAUCUUACCCAAGGCAGCGUAAGUGACAGUGGAAUCUCCAAUGGUAAGAGACAACAUUUCCAAUCAAAAACCACAA